RNAcentral lists this ribosomal RNA (172 nucleotides) under uncultured bacterium. RNAcentral's name for it is "partial 16S ribosomal RNA". It matches the Rfam family "Bacterial small subunit ribosomal RNA", at positions 340 to 509 of the family's 1533-position model. The record is from RNAcentral.
UACGGAGGGCAGCAGUGAGGAAUAUUGGUCAAUGGGCGCGAGCCUGAACCAGCCAAGUCGCGUGAGGGAAGACGGUCCUAUGGAUUGUAAACCUCUUUUGUCGGGGAGCAAGAAAGGGUAUGCAUACCCUACUGAGAGUACCCGAAGAAAAAGCAUCGGCUAACUCCGUGCC